CGGCGGACGGGUGAGUAACGCGUGGGUAACCUGCCUCAUACAGGGGGAUAACAGUUAGAAAUGACUGCUAAUACCGCAUAAGACCACGGUACCGCAUGGUACAGUGGUAAAAACUCCGGUGGUAUGAGAUGGACCCGCGUCUGAUUAGGUAGUUGGUGGGGUAACGGCCUACCAAGCCACGAUCAGUAGCCGACCUGAGAGGGUGACCGGCCACAUUGGGACUGAGACACGGCCCAG
RNAcentral lists this ribosomal RNA (237 nucleotides) under uncultured bacterium. Its description in RNAcentral is "partial 16S ribosomal RNA". It matches the Rfam family "Bacterial small subunit ribosomal RNA", at positions 96 to 334 of the family's 1533-position model. The record is from RNAcentral.